GAUGAACGCUGGCGGCGUGCCUAAUACAUGCAAGUCGAGCGACCGACGAGGAGCUUGCCUCCCUGACGUUUGCCGCCGGCCGGGUAGUUACACCUUGAUAACCUUCCUUAUAGACCUGGGUUAACUCCGGGAAACCGGGCCUAUUACCGGAUAUUAUUUUGACCCCGGUGUUUCAUUAUUAAAAGACGUUUUGCUUUCCCCUUUUAGAUGAUUCCGCGCCGCAUUAGCUAGUUGGUAAGGUACGGGCUUACCAAGGCGACGAUGCGUAGCCGACCUGAGAGGGUGAUCGGCCACACUGGAACUGAGACACGGUCCAGACUCCUACGGGAGGCAGCAGUAGGGAAUCUUCCGCAAUGGGCGAAAGCCUGACGGAGCAACGCCGCGUGAGUGAUGAAGGUCUUCGGAUCGUAAAACUCUGUUAUUAGGGAAGAACAAAUGUGUAAGUAACUAUGCACGUCUUGACGGUACCUAAUCAGAAAGCCACGGCUAACUACGUG
This 497-nucleotide ribosomal RNA is filed under the name uncultured bacterium. Its description in RNAcentral is "partial 16S ribosomal RNA". It matches the Rfam family "Bacterial small subunit ribosomal RNA", at positions 28 to 507 of the family's 1533-position model. The record is from RNAcentral.